UUGCCGGAAAUGCAGAAACACGAGGGGAGAUUUACUGUGGGACCUUGCUGAGCUCCUGGCAGUAAACUUUAUGGCAGCCUUCCUCUGACUGGCCCUCCCUGGGAUUUUUAACUCUCAUAGUUGUCUGUAAAGAGCCUCUAGCAUUUCAUCAAUUACAGCUCAUGUUUUCUCCUCUGGCGUAGUUUCUGCAAGUCUCUGCUCAGGUUGGAUCCACUCUUUCCUCAAACCCCUGUCUUUUAAACGCCAUCCCUUAUUACUUCUGAGUUUUUUUGAAUUUGCUAGAGCAUAACUUCAAGCAACAUCCCAAGAAAAGUGUAUGAGAGACAAAGAAAUUUGGGCAUCUAGAGGUUAAAUGACUUAUUGAAUGUGAAACAGCAAACAAGGAUUGAGCUAAUAUUCAGCCAAGGUGUGCGGCUCCAGAGACUUCAU
RNA transcript from Sus scrofa (pig), 429 nucleotides. RefSeq lists it as uncharacterized. The record is from RefSeq and is a predicted model, not a curated record. Lineage: Eukaryota; Metazoa; Chordata; Mammalia; Artiodactyla; Suidae.